This 1236-nucleotide ribosomal RNA is filed under the name Triticum aestivum (bread wheat). RNAcentral's name for it is "partial small subunit ribosomal RNA". The record is from RNAcentral. Lineage: Eukaryota; Viridiplantae; Streptophyta; Magnoliopsida; Poales; Poaceae.
AUGGCAACGGGCCACCGCGCCCUCGCCAAUCUCACUGCCGUGCUCCUCGUGCCCAUCUUCUUCGCGUGGCUGGCUGCCGCGCAACCACAGGUGUGCGGUGACAGCGGGAACUACUCGGCGAACAGCACUUACCAGUCCAACCUCGGGCAGCUCUCCGUCACCCUCCCCAAGAACGCAUCCGCGUCCCCAACGCUCUUCGCCACCGGCAGCGUGGGCUCCGUGCCGGACAUCGUCUACGCCCUCGCGCUCUGCCGCGGCGACACCAACGCCUCCGCCUGCGCGGCCUGCGUCACCACCGCCUUCCAGGACGCGCAGCAGCUCUGCGCCUUCAACAAGGACGCGUCCGUCUUCUACGACCUCUGCCUCCUCCACUUCUCCAACCAGAACUUCCUGCCCGACACCGACGGGCGAGGCAACCAGUCCAUCUUCCAGACGGACGCGCGGAACGUGUCCGCGCCGACGGUGGUGUUCGACAACGCCGUCGGCGUGCUCCUGAACGCCACCGCCGACUACGCGUCCUCGAACUCGUCCAAGCGGUUUGCCACGGGCGAGGAGAUGUUCGACAGAGGCGGAAUCCCCGCGAUCUACGCGCUGGUGCAGUGCACGCCGGACUUGGCGCCGGCCGCCUGCCGGAGUUGCCUCGGGGAUAUAAUUCAGAUGAUGCCCAAGUAUCUCAGCGGGGGAAGAGCGGAAUGGCUUUUUGGAUCCGAUGCAACUACCGGGCAGAAGGAAAGAUCAGCAGCAAAGAUCUCUGCAUCGGUGGCCUGUACCAUUGUCUUUGUAUUAAUACUUUCUGCUUCUGCUUUUAUUUGCUUCAAGAAAAGAAAACCUUUGAAGAAGCAGCCAGCACUGGCAUUUCAUAAUGCUGCGAGAGGAAAAUGUAUGAUCUUUGAUUUACCUACACUGCAAGAGGCAACAGAAAACUUCUCCGAGGAGAAUAAGCUCGGAGAGGGCGGUUUUGGUACUGUGUACAAGGGAACACUUCCAAAUGAGCAAGAAGUGGCAGUGAAAAGGCUUUCACAGACUAGUAGAGAGGGACUGAAUCAGCUGCACAAUGAAUUGCAAGUUUUGGCUCAGCUCCAGCACAUAAAACUUGUCAGGUUACUGGGGUAUUGCUCACAUCAGAAUGAAGUGAUGCUUGUCUACGAGUUCGUAAAAAACGGGUGCCUCCACAACUUCCUGUUUGGUAAUUUCAUCCGGAAUUACCAAUCGAGCAUGAACACGUUUUUGUCAUAA